Molecule: ribosomal RNA, 253 nt
Filed under: uncultured bacterium
Lineage: Bacteria
Description: partial 16S ribosomal RNA
Rfam family: Bacterial small subunit ribosomal RNA
Source: RNAcentral
UACGUCGGGUGCGAGCGUUAAUCGGAAUUACUGGGCGUAAAGCGUGCGCAGGCGGCGCGUUAAGACAGGUGUGAAAGCCCCGAGCUUAACUUGGGAAUUGCGCUUGUGACUGGCGUGCUGGAGUGUGGCAGAGGGAGGUGGAAUUCCACGUGUAGCAGUGAAAUGCGUAGAGAUGUGGAGGAACACCGAUGGCGAAGGCAGCCUCCUGGGCCAGCACUGACGCUCAUGCACGAAAGCGUGGGGAGCAAACAGG